This 533-nucleotide ribosomal RNA is filed under the name uncultured archaeon. RNAcentral describes it as "bacterial SSU rRNA". It matches the Rfam family "Archaeal small subunit ribosomal RNA", at positions 345 to 879 of the family's 1478-position model. The record is from RNAcentral.
AACCUUUGCAAUGUGCGCAAGCACGACAAGGUUAAUCCGAGUGUUUCCUGCUAAAGGAAUCUUUUGUUAGUUCUAAAACCACUGAUGAAUAAGGGGUGGGCAAGUUCUGGUGUCAGCCGCCGCGGUAAAACCAGCACCUCAAGUGGUCAGGAGGAUUAUUGGGCCUAAAGCAUCCGUAGCCUGUUCUGUAAGUUUUCGGUUAAAUCCAUUAGCUCAACUAAUGGGCCGCCGAAAAUACUGCAGAACUAGGGAGUGGGAGAGGUAGACGGUACUCGGUAGGAAGGGGUAAAAUCCUUUGAUCUAUUGAUGACCACCUGUGGCGAAGGCGGUCUACCAGAACACGUUCGACGGUGAGGGAUGAAAGCUGGGGGAGCAAACCGGAUUAGAUACCCGGGUAGUCCCAGCUGUAAACGAUGCAGACUCGGUGAUGCGCUGGCUUGUGGCCAGUGCAGUGCCGCAGGGAAGCCGUUAAGUUUGCCGCCUGGGAAGUACGUACGCAAGUAUGAAACUUAAAGGAAUUGGCGGGGGAGCAC